UUUCAAUGUCAUGAAAAAGUAAAAAGUAAAGUAAAGUCAGUGGUUGGAUAAAGUUUAAUCCAAUGCACCGAGCUGAGAAACUAAUUUCACUGGGUUACAGUAAAUCACAAUUGGGAAGGUGCUCUACUAAUCCAGUAGACUGAUUACUUUUGAACAUUAAGUGAGUUUAUUUUCUUGCAGGAUAUAGGAGGACUCAGUGACACAACAACAGUUACACUAACGAUUGAAGAUUUUGACAACCUAAACCCUUAUUUUGAUCACUGUCUCUACAAGGCAUCCAUUGAGGAAAAUCAGGUAGGACUCUUCUCGGACAUCACUCCCGAGCCCAUAAAAGCUCAAGAUGGUGACACGGGCAUCAACGAGCCUGUAGUUUACAGCAUAACAUCAGUCAUUCCAAAUGAAUAUCAGAACAGCUUUGAUAUCGACCGAAACAGUGGGGUCAUCUCUGUGACGACGGCACUAGACAGAGAGCAAACAGGGCAGAUUGCUGUUUUCAUACAGGCAGCUCAGCAGGAUGACGCCAGUAAGACUUUUAAUCGUGAUAACUGAUUUCUGGCUGAUUUGUUUCUUCAAGCAAGUUAGCAUUUUGAAAUAAAAUAUCUGGAUUAAGUUGUCUGAGAUUACUU
Molecule: long non-coding RNA, 626 nt
Organism: Cyprinus carpio (common carp)
Lineage: Eukaryota; Metazoa; Chordata; Actinopteri; Cypriniformes; Cyprinidae
Source: Ensembl